Molecule: ribosomal RNA, 321 nt
Filed under: Lactiplantibacillus plantarum
Lineage: Bacteria; Bacillati; Bacillota; Bacilli; Lactobacillales; Lactobacillaceae
Description: bacterial SSU rRNA
Rfam family: Bacterial small subunit ribosomal RNA
Source: RNAcentral
GACGCUGGCGGCGUGCCUAAUACAUGCAAGUCGAACGAACUCUGGUAUUGAUUGGGUGCUUGCAUCAUGAUUUACAUUUGAGUGAGUGGCGAACUGGUGAGUAACACGUGGGAAACCUGCCCAGAAGCGGGGGAUAACACCUGGAAACAGAUGCUAAUACCGCAUAACAACUUGGACCGCAUGGUCCGAGUUGAAAGAUGGCUUCGGCUAUCACUUUUGGAUGGUCCCGCGGCGUAUUAGCUAGAUGGUGGGUAACGGCUCACCAUGGCAAUGAUACGUAGCCGACCUGAGAGGGUAAUCGGCCACAUUGGGACUGAGACA